AACGAACGCUGGCGGCGUGCCUAACACAUGCAAGUCGAACGGAGGCAGGGGGCUUGCUCCUUGCUUUAGUGGCGCACGGGUGAGUAACGCGUAGAUAAUCUGCCUGAUGAUUCGGGAUAACACUUCGAAAGGGGUGCUAAUACCGGAUAAGCCCACGGUGUCUUUGGACACUGCGGGAAAAGGGGGGCCGUUAUCGGCCUUCUGUCAUCAGAUGAGUCUGCGUACCAUUAGCUAGUUGGUAGGGUAAAGGCCUACCAAGGCGACGAUGGUUAGCUGGUCUGAGAGGAUGAUCAGCCACACUGGAACUGAGACACGGUCCAGACUCCUACGGGUGGCUG
RNAcentral lists this ribosomal RNA (338 nucleotides) under uncultured Pseudomonadota bacterium. RNAcentral describes it as "bacterial SSU rRNA". It matches the Rfam family "Bacterial small subunit ribosomal RNA", at positions 29 to 351 of the family's 1533-position model. Lineage: Bacteria; Pseudomonadati; Pseudomonadota. The record is from RNAcentral.